RNAcentral lists this ribosomal RNA (107 nucleotides) under uncultured bacterium. Its description in RNAcentral is "partial 16S ribosomal RNA". It matches the Rfam family "Bacterial small subunit ribosomal RNA", at positions 1367 to 1482 of the family's 1533-position model. The record is from RNAcentral.
UACGUUCCCGGACCUUGUACACACCGCCCGUCAAGCCAUGGAAGUUGGGAGGACCUGAGGACAGUUGCUGUAAGGCGCUGUUUAGGGUUAAACCGAUGACUGGGGCU